Molecule: antisense RNA, 75 nt
Filed under: Streptomyces sp. XY431
Lineage: Bacteria; Bacillati; Actinomycetota; Actinomycetes; Kitasatosporales; Streptomycetaceae
Description: ASpks sRNA
Rfam family: ASpks TB sRNA
Source: RNAcentral
CUUGACGGAGCCGAGAUGGAGCGGCUGCCCGGCGGGACGGUCCCGGCCGUAGGCGGCCAGGAGGGCCUGGGCCUC